GACAGAGGGUGCAAGCGUUGUUCGGAAUUACUGGGCGUAAAGCGCGUGUAGGCAGCGACUGCAAGUCGGGUGUGAAAGCCCUGGGCUCAACCUAGGAAGUGCACUCGAAACUGCAGGGCUUGAGUUCUGGAGAGGAAGGCGGAAUUCUCGGUGUAGAGGUGAAAUUCGUAGAUAUCGAGAGGAACAUCGGUGGCGAAGGCGGCCUUCUGGACAGUGACUGACGCUGAGACGCGAAAGCGUGGGGAGCAAACAGG
This 254-nucleotide ribosomal RNA is filed under the name uncultured bacterium. RNAcentral describes it as "partial 16S ribosomal RNA". It matches the Rfam family "Bacterial small subunit ribosomal RNA", at positions 524 to 776 of the family's 1533-position model. The record is from RNAcentral.